This 72-nucleotide transfer RNA is filed under the name Camelus bactrianus (Bactrian camel). It matches the Rfam family "tRNA". Rfam says of the family: Transfer RNA (tRNA) molecules are approximately 80 nucleotides in length. Their secondary structure includes four short double-helical elements and three loops (D, anti-codon, and T loops). RNAcentral also lists the same sequence under 1 other name. The record is from Rfam by way of RNAcentral. Lineage: Eukaryota; Metazoa; Chordata; Mammalia; Artiodactyla; Camelidae.
GAGGGCAUAGCUCAGUGGAAGAGUGCAUGCUUAACAUGCACAAGGUCCUGGGUUCAAUCCCCAGUACCUCUG